AUGAACGCUGGCGGCGUGCCUAAUACAUGCAAGUCGAGCGAACAGACGAGGAGCUUGCUCCUCUGAUGUUAGCGGCGGACGGGUGAGUAACACGUGGAUAACCUACCUAUAAGACUGGGAUACUUCGGGAAACCGGAGCUAAUACCGGAUAACAUGUUGAACCGCAUGGUUCAACAGUGAAAGACGGUCUUGCUGUCACUUAUAGAUGGAUCCGCGCCGCAUUAGCUAGUUGGUAAGGUAACGGCUUACCAAGGCAACGAUGCGUAGCCGACCUGAGAGGGUGAUCGGCCACACUGGAACUGAGACACGGUCCAGACUCCUACGGGAGGCAGCAGUAGGGAAUCUUCCGCAAUGGGCGAAAGCCUGACGGAGCAACGCCGCGUGAGUGAAGAAGGUCUUCGGAUCGUAAAACUCUGUUAUUAGGGAAGAACAAAUGUGUAAGUAACUAUGCACGUCUUGACGGUACCUAAUCAGAAAGCCACGGCUAACUACGUG
Molecule: ribosomal RNA, 495 nt
Filed under: uncultured bacterium
Lineage: Bacteria
Description: partial 16S ribosomal RNA
Rfam family: Bacterial small subunit ribosomal RNA
Source: RNAcentral